Non-coding RNA from Peromyscus maniculatus bairdii (prairie deer mouse), 1327 nucleotides. Lineage: Eukaryota; Metazoa; Chordata; Mammalia; Rodentia; Cricetidae. The record is from RefSeq and is a predicted model, not a curated record.
AGGGUUUGUUGUCCAGCCAUUUGAGCUAAGUUGAUAUACUCCAGGUUCAACAAGAUGCCUUGUCAAUAAAUAAGAGAGUAUGCAAGAAAGACACUUGAUCAACCUCUUCCCUUCAUGUGCACAUUUUCAGAAUAGAUGAUGAGCAGACAUAAAGAGGAAGUCCUCCAUCAGCAACACUCUCUGGACAGCCAAACAUAAUGGGAAAUCAUGGAUAAAGAUGAAAGUCAUUACAGUCUGAGCAGAAGAAGGGCAGUGACCAUGGGGAAUACUGAUCUGUAGUAAUGAGCAUUCAAAGAUCUCUGGGCUUCCUCGGCUCUUGUUCCUGCUCAUCCAAGCAGGGUCAGGUGUCUGAGCUGUCCAGUCUACAGUUCCUGGUCAUCCAAGCAUUGUCAGACAUGGACUCCCUUUCCUGACGUGGGCCUCAAGUGACGUCCCAUAUAUUCUAACGUGAUUUAGACCCACAAUGCUCCUACUUGAGGCUUUCAUGUACUGUGCUUCGCAUCUUCAAUCUCAAACUGUUCAGAAUCACAAAAAGCAAGGUGACUCCAAAGUUCAUGAGAUUGGCUCAUCAGAUUUCCAUUUCCACUUUUAUCAACAGGUCACUUUUACUCGAGGCUUCUUGAGGGCAGUGCAUUUGAGCAAGUUUCUUUACAGAAAAGCAAAAUCAUAAGGGCUAAGAAGAUGAGAACUCAAUGGGCCACAUGAGACACGAUACUAGGCAGAAGAACUGAUUCCGUGAAAUACCUGUCAUAGAUAUGAAAUGUUUGAUAAACUGAAAUCAUAGAGUAGGGAAAAAAAUACCAACUGCUACAGCAAUCAAUCGUGGGCUUGUUUCCAAAUCACACCUAAAGAAAAUGGCAAUCAUUCUCCAGGAUAUUCAGAAUCUUUCUUUAUGUAAGACAGGAAAAGUCACUGGUAUUUGUGAUUUUGCCAUUCUUUCCUAUGAAUGCAAGAUAAGCCAGCUCCUGGACUGUUGCUACCUUGUAUCACUGGCAUGGUCAACGGGAAAUUGACUCUGCCAGGCCCCAUCUUACCAGAUUCUGGACUGCUGCUACCUUGUAUCACUUGCAUGGACAAAGAAAGUGACUCAGCCAGGCCCAGUCUAAGCAGAUGCACUUACACUAAUAGAAGGCAUGGACAAAAUUAACCCCGGAAACAGUAUCAAGACUCUGUUAGUGAUAAUAAGAUCAAAAAUAGCACUGGUAAUUUUGUCUUCUACAGUAACUCCUCUUUGUCACCAGGAAAUGUUCUGUGGAUAAUCAUAGACAGCAGCUAUAUACAGCUUAGGGAGAAAAUACAAGUGUGGAGAUGCCUGUCAUAUAGCGCC